GCUGGGCAUGGUUGUGCAUGCCUGUAAUCCCAGCUACUUGGGAGGCUGAGGCAGGAGAAUCACUUGAACCCAGGAGGCGGAAGUUGCAGUGAGCUGAGAUCAUGCCACUGCUCUCCAGCCUGGGCAACAGAGUGAGACCCCGUCUCAA
Molecule: non-coding RNA, 148 nt
Filed under: Pan troglodytes (chimpanzee)
Lineage: Eukaryota; Metazoa; Chordata; Mammalia; Primates; Hominidae
Source: Rfam by way of RNAcentral